RNAcentral lists this ribosomal RNA (426 nucleotides) under uncultured Chlamydiae bacterium. Its description in RNAcentral is "bacterial SSU rRNA". It matches the Rfam family "Bacterial small subunit ribosomal RNA", at positions 958 to 1385 of the family's 1533-position model. The record is from RNAcentral. Lineage: Bacteria; Pseudomonadati; Chlamydiota; Chlamydiia.
AACGCGAAGAACCUUACCCAGGCUCGAAAUGUAAUGGACGAUAUCAGAGAUGAUAUUUUCCGCAAGGACUAUUAUAUAGGUGCUGCAUGGCUGUCGUCAGCUCGUGCCGUGAGGUGUUGGGUUAAGUCCCGCAACGAGCGCAACCCUUAUCAUUAGUUGCCAACACGCGAGGUGGGGACUCUAAUGAGACUGCCUGGGUUAACCAGGAGGAAGGUGAGGAUGACGUCAAGUCCGCAUGGCCUUUAUGUCUGGGGCUACACACGUGCUACAAUGGUCGGUACAGAAGGCAGCAAGACCGUAAGGUGGAGCAAAUCCGAAAAGCCGAUCACAGUUCAGAUUGUAGUCUGCAACUCGACUACAUGAAGUUGGAAUUGCUAGUAAUGACGUGUCAGCAACAACGUCGUGAAUACGUUCCCGGGCCUUGUA